This 266-nucleotide long non-coding RNA is filed under the name Bos taurus (domestic cattle). RNAcentral's name for it is "long non-coding RNA NONBTAT015059". The record is from RNAcentral. Lineage: Eukaryota; Metazoa; Chordata; Mammalia; Artiodactyla; Bovidae.
AAGUAAUGUACUUACUUUCAUAUAUUCCCUCAAUCCUCAUUCUUAAAACUGUUUAUAGCAGAACCACAGCAAUACAAUUUGUAGAAGUUGUAACUUUUGGCUUGAGCAGUAGUCUUCUGCCACGUGUCUAAAAGAACCAAUGUAUCAUCCAACCCAGUGGGCAGAGACCCACGCCCCACCACUCUCAUCUCUGAAUCAACUAGGUCAGUGGUUUCGGUGUAAAGUAGGCUGCCACUGGUAUUUCUCCCUUGUAAAAAACUUGUAAC